GAUGAACGCUGGCGGCGUGCUUAACACAUGCAAGUCGAACGAACUAAGAGAGCUUGCUCUCUUAGUUAGUGGCGGACGGGUGAGUAACGCGUGGGUAACCUGCCCUAUGCAGGGGGAUAACGUUUGGAAACGAACGCUAAUACCGCAUAAUAAAGAAGAACUGCAUGGUUUUUCUUUCAAAGAUUUAUCGGCAUAGGAUGGACCCGCGUUGGAUUAGCUUGUUGGUGAGAUAACAGCCCACCAAGGCGAUGAUCCAUAGCCGGCCUGAGAGGGUGAACGGCCACACUGGGACUGAGACACGGCCCAGACUCCUACGGGAGGCAGCAGUGGGGAAUAUUGCACAAUGGGCGCAAGCCUGAUGCAGCGACGCCGCGUGAAGGAUGAAGGUCUUCGGAUUGUAAACUUCUAUCAGCAGGGAAGAAUAAAUGACGGUACCUGACUAAGAAGCACCGGCUAACUACGUGCCAGCCGCCGCGGUAA
This 480-nucleotide ribosomal RNA is filed under the name uncultured bacterium. RNAcentral describes it as "partial 16S ribosomal RNA". It matches the Rfam family "Bacterial small subunit ribosomal RNA", at positions 28 to 523 of the family's 1533-position model. The record is from RNAcentral.